UAGAUUCUUUCACUCGAAGUGGAGCAGAGGGGGAUGUUGGGUUUAACAAGGAAAACACUGAAAACAGAACGCCGCCUCAGCUCAUUGAGAUCAGCAUGGAAUUCAGGAGUCUUUCAGAGCACUUUUGUGAUGCUGCAAGUGGGAGUGGAUUUCUUGCUUAGCUGGAGACAGCAGAGAACCACAUCCUGUCGUCCUGAAAAAAAGAAAGAGACUACUUUCUCCAAAGAGAUCCAAACGCCAUUGGCACAGACUUUGUUAAGUGAUCAGUAACAUAUAAUUCAGCAAGGGCCGUCCUUAGGAGGUGCAACUGGUGCGUCGCACCGGAUGCGUUUUGCAUUACAAACAAGUGUGUUCUUAAUAUAGAUAACAGAUAAAAUUACUAUUAUAGGACACAUCAAUUGUCAAUAUCAAGCAGCAAAACUAACUGUACUGUACAGCUAAAAAUAGCUGGACGCAAAUGAGACCGGAAGCUACACCAAUAGAAUUUACAAAUGGCGGCACCCAUUUAUACAUCAGGAAAAAGGUGGAUAAACCUAAUUUAAAUUCAGAAUACAUAUGGACCAAAUAAGAAUACAUAUUUUGUGCCUUUACACUGAUUUGCUUUAACGUUAUGUUUUAUUUUUUUAGUGUGAAACCUGAAUUGAAAUGUUCAUUUAGAAAUCAGAAACAAGACACACCUU
Carassius auratus (goldfish) is the source of this 680-nucleotide long non-coding RNA. RefSeq lists it as uncharacterized. The transcript is spliced from 3 exons. NCBI's taxonomy places the organism in Eukaryota, Metazoa, Chordata, Actinopteri, Cypriniformes, Cyprinidae. The record is from RefSeq and is a predicted model, not a curated record.